Molecule: transfer RNA, 73 nt
Filed under: Abracris sp. OR222
Lineage: Eukaryota; Metazoa; Arthropoda; Insecta; Orthoptera; Acrididae
Description: tRNA-Gly
Source: RNAcentral
GUUUUUCAAGUAUAUUAGUACAUUUGACUUCCAAUCAAAAAGAUUGAUUUUAUAUUCUUAAUCAAGAAAAACA